This 253-nucleotide ribosomal RNA is filed under the name uncultured bacterium. RNAcentral's name for it is "partial 16S ribosomal RNA". It matches the Rfam family "Bacterial small subunit ribosomal RNA", at positions 524 to 776 of the family's 1533-position model. The record is from RNAcentral.
GACAGAGGGUGCAAACGUUGUUCGGAAUUACUGGGCGUAAAGCGAGUGUAGGCGGUUUCCUAAGUCAGGUGUGAAAGCCCCGGGCUCAACCCGGGAAGUGCACUUGAAACUGGGAGGCUAGAGUAUCGGAGAGGUUGGUGGAGUUCUCGGUGUAGAGGUGAAAUUCGUAGAUAUCGAGAGGAACACCGGUGGCGAAGGCGGCCAACUGGACGAAUACUGACGCUGAGACUCGAAAGCGUGGGGAGCAAACAGG